CGUCUCAGUUCGGAUUGUAGUCUGCAACUCGACUACAUGAAGCUGGAAUCGCUAGUAAUCGCAGAUCAGAAUGCUGCGGUGAAUACGUUCCCGGGUCUUGUACACACCGCCCGUCACACCAUGGGAGUCGGAAAUGCCCGAAGCCAGUGACCCAACCUUAGGGAGGGAGCUGUCGAAGGUGGAGCCGGUAACUGGGGUGAAGUCGUAACAAGGUAAC
RNAcentral lists this ribosomal RNA (217 nucleotides) under uncultured bacterium. RNAcentral describes it as "partial 16S ribosomal RNA". It matches the Rfam family "Bacterial small subunit ribosomal RNA", at positions 1284 to 1500 of the family's 1533-position model. The record is from RNAcentral.